RNAcentral lists this ribosomal RNA (448 nucleotides) under uncultured bacterium. RNAcentral describes it as "partial 16S ribosomal RNA". It matches the Rfam family "Bacterial small subunit ribosomal RNA", at positions 330 to 794 of the family's 1533-position model. The record is from RNAcentral.
CCCAGACUCCUACGGGAGGCAGCAGUGGGGGAUAUUGCACAAUGGGGGGAACCCUGAUGCAGCGACGCCGCGUGGAGGAAGAAGUAUCUCGGUAUGUAAACUCCUAUCAGCAGGGAAGAAAGAAGACGGUACCUGACUAAGAAGCCCCGGCUAACUACGUGCCAGCAGCCGCGGUAAUACGUAGGGGGCGAGCGUUAUCCGGAUUUACUGGGUGUAAAGGGAGCGUAGACGGUGAAGCAAGUCUGAAGUGAAAGGCGGGGGCUCAACCCCCGGACUGCUUUGGAAACUGUUUGACUGGAGUGCAGGAGAGGUAAGUGGAAUUCCUAGUGUAGCGGUGAAAUGCGUAGAUAUUAGGAGGAACACCAGUGGCGAAGGCGGCUUACUGGACUGUAACUGACGUUGAGGCUCGAAAGCGUGGGGAGCAAACAGGAUUAGAUACCCGUGUAUA